RNAcentral lists this long non-coding RNA (2417 nucleotides) under Marmota monax (woodchuck). The record is from RNAcentral. Lineage: Eukaryota; Metazoa; Chordata; Mammalia; Rodentia; Sciuridae.
UAGUAUGCAGGUGUAGAAGGAGACAUGGGAGGCACUGCUGCUGGAAAGAAAACCAGAACUGAUUAAUUGCCUCUGCUUUGUACAGUCUGCCACCAGGACCUCGCUCUCCUGUUGCUUCCUGUUUCUGACUGAAGCCCUCUUCUCUGCUUGGCAUUCGAACACAGCCUUUGCCUGUGACCUCUAUGGAUGCUUUGCCUGUCUCCUCAAGGGAUGCUGUCAAAGUACUUGAGUUCUGUGGAGCCAACGGAAGCAGCAGAACAGGGUUUCUCUUCCCUAGUCCGAGAGAGAACAGUGAAACCUCAAAAUUACCACAAGCAGCACCCUCACAGUUUCUCCCUUCUACAACUGACAAAAAUUUCUUAAAGUCUGUCAUUUCUGAGGCUUAAUGAAAAUUAUUUUCAAGGUUUGGAAAAAUGGUCUAAUAUAAAUUGGUUUAGAACCCCUCCCACCUUGGCAGUUCCUUUUGGGGCCCCAUCAUACAGCUUGUUUCAAUCACAUUGAAUUUUACCCCAGUUUUUGUAGAUUUUUCUAAUACCUUUUUUGUUUUGUUAAGAUGGUGUUUUGCUGUGUUUCCUCAGAUAGGCCUGGAACUCUUAAGCUUAAGUGAUCCUCCUGUCUCAGCCUCCUGAGUAGCUGGGACUAUAAUUGUCACCUGUGCCCAAGUCUACCGUUUUCUGAAGGCCAUAUACUCAGACAGAGGGAUUAAGAGAAUGAGAUCCAAAUUCUGGGUACCAAGUUUAGGUCCAGUAGCCUUCUCACAUCCACUUCCUGAGACAUCAUUUCCUCAGACCUCCAGAUUUGGUAACACUGAGACUGGCCCUUCUGUUCUUCCCAACUGCAUGACACCACCCUUUUCCUCAGCAGUUCAGACUGGGAUGUACAUGUGAGUGUAUCUAUGACAGUAUGAUAAAGGUGCCUAGGUGUGAAGGUGAGAUUCCAUGAGAGGCCAAUAGCUGUCUCUUAUCACUUGAAAACAAAAGCACAUUAGGUUCCUGUAGGACUCUUAUUGAAAAGGAUCUGAUAAAGAAGCCCCCUUUCGUUAUGGUGAUGAGUGCUCUCACCCUGUUUCCCAGGUUUCAUUCACUAUGUUCCCUACCAACAUCCUUGAGCCCAACUCCUGGGUUUUUCACCUCUCAGCUACCCAAGCAGCUGGGACUAUAGGUGUGUACCAGUGUGCUGUGCUCUGAAGGAAGCAUUGGGGGAGUCUAAAGGGGAAGGCUAGAUUGAUAAAGAUUAGCACCUUUCUGAACACUUGCCCUCAGCAGGGAGCAGAAACACUGUGGGUCCUUGUAGGAGAACCAGACCUUUGGUCUUACUCAUAGCUAGGAAAGUUCUGAGGUGUGAUGGGGAAACCCAAAAGUAAUGUGUGGCAGUCCAGUGAGAUUGUGUGUUUACUAAGGGCUCCAUUACAGAUGCCUGGUCUAGGCCUACCUGCUGCACUGCUCUCCCAGGAAAUAGAGGAUAAGUUAGGCUGAAUAUAGAAUAUCUGGUCAGACAUUCUUUCUCGAUCAACCAGACACUCGGGUGUCUUGUAGAGAACUGGUAGAGAAGAUUCCUAGCGUUAACCUGCCAUGGAGACUGAGGCUGUGAUGUCAUCACUACUCAGGUCACAGAAGGAAUGUGUGACUUGAGGGGUAGGUGACGAUUCUUGGUAUGUUAUGGAAAGCCGGGUGAAAGGAGAGAGCUCUGCUUGGGCACCCCUCUGGCCUCUCCCCCCAUAGUCAGAUAGCCACUCUCUGUGGAGCACAGCCCAGACCACAGAGGGGCAAGCAAAACCCAGAUUCUGAAACUGGCCUGACAGUCAUGAUUAACAUAGACAGCUAGGUUGCAUGACCCUGAUACUAAGUAUUUUCCUGUUGGAGAGGCAGAGAUUUGAGUGGAUUAGGGGGUCAGGGAAUGCUCCUUGGAUGUGAGCCUGAACAUAAGUUAAAAGACGUAGGUUGGGUGCGGUAACCCAUUCCUGUAAUUCCAAUGGCUUGGGAGGCUGAGGCAGGAGAUUUUUUAGUUCAAAGCCAGUCUCAUCAAUUUAGGAAGUCCCUGAGCAACUCAGUGAGACCCUGCCUCUAAAUAAAAUAGGAAGAAAGUGCUGGGGAUGUGCCACACUUGGUUGCUGCCUCUGAGAUCAAUCCCCAGUAUCGGGGAAAAAAAAAAAAAAAAGAAAGAAAGAAAAUGUGGACAUGUGGAAAAACAUUCACAUUGGGGAAAAAAAGCAAAGACCGGGUCCUUUUAAUCUCAUUCUGCUCCAAAGAUUUAUUCUUUGAUGCAUUGGAGAGUGUGGCCGGCUGUUCCUUUGAUCCUGAGCAAUACACACAUCUUUCUGAACACACACACAGAGAAAUGCACCCAUAACCUUCUUACAAGUGAGAUCUCAAAAAAGAGGCUACGGGGCCUACACAAGGUCACACAGGUAGUACAGA